This 77-nucleotide transfer RNA is filed under the name Acidiphilium sp. RNAcentral describes it as "tRNA-Arg". It matches the Rfam family "tRNA". From Rfam's summary of the family: Transfer RNA (tRNA) molecules are approximately 80 nucleotides in length. Their secondary structure includes four short double-helical elements and three loops (D, anti-codon, and T loops). RNAcentral also lists the same sequence under 7 other names. Lineage: Bacteria; Pseudomonadati; Pseudomonadota; Alphaproteobacteria; Acetobacterales; Acidocellaceae. The record is from RNAcentral.
GGCCCUGUAGCUCAACUGGAUAGAGCACCCGCCUUCUAAGCGGGUGGUUGCGUGUUCGAGUCACGCCAGGGUCGCCA